RNAcentral lists this transfer RNA (89 nucleotides) under Candidatus Faecalicoccus intestinipullorum. RNAcentral's name for it is "tRNA-Leu". It matches the Rfam family "tRNA". Rfam says of the family: Transfer RNA (tRNA) molecules are approximately 80 nucleotides in length. Their secondary structure includes four short double-helical elements and three loops (D, anti-codon, and T loops). Further hydrogen bonds mediate the characteristic L-shaped molecular structure. tRNAs have two regions of fundamental functional importance: the anti-codon, which is responsible for specific mRNA codon recognition, and the 3' end, to which the tRNAs corresponding amino acid is attached (by aminoacyl-tRNA synthetases). tRNAs cope with the degeneracy of the genetic code in two manners: having more than one tRNA (with a specific anti-codon) for a particular amino acid; and 'wobble' base-pairing, i.e. permitting non-standard base-pairing at the 3rd anti-codon position. The record is from RNAcentral. Lineage: Bacteria; Bacillati; Bacillota; Erysipelotrichia; Erysipelotrichales; Erysipelotrichaceae. RNAcentral also lists the same sequence under 1 other name.
GCCUGAGUGGCGAAAUCGGUAGACGCACAGGACUUAAAAUCCUGCGGGAGUCAAAUCCCGUGCCGGUUCAAGUCCGGCCUCAGGCACCA